AUGGCUCUGGAAAGGCCCAGAAGGGGAAUCAUAGAAAGCGGGUGGGGGGAAGCGACCUCAGGAGACCACAUCUUGUCCAACUGCUCAAAGCAGGACCAGCCCCAACCACAUCACCCCAGCCAAGGCUUUCUCCAGCCAGAUCUUAAAACUGUUCAAGGAGGGAGAUCCCACCACUUCUCUGGGAAGCCCCUUCCAGCCAGGGGGUGUUUGAAUCCCCAAGCCUUGACUAUGUGCUCCCACGGAGGGAGCCUCCUGUCCGGCCUUCGCUACAUUUUAAGGCGCGCUUCCUGGCCCACCCAUGCCCAAAGGGUGCGCUGCAGGCUGGGCACAGCGCGGCUCCCCCCUCGCCUUCACCGUGUCCCCUCCGCCCCCGCGCUCCGGGCGGGGGCAGCCGGGGGUCGGUCACCCCGCGCCCGCCACCCCCGCCCCCGCUCGGCGUUGUGCCAACGGGACCCUUCUGCAGAGCCCUUGAUCUCCCCGCACACACCUGCCCGCCUGCGGGCGGCCGCGCUCCCUCCCCCGCGACUCACGGGCCCGGCGGGGAGGGGGCCCCCCACCCCCGGCCACAACAUGGAGCCGGAGCGGGAGGCCGAGGCGGGGAGGGGAGAGGAGGCCCCGGUCCCGGUCCCCUCCCGCCGCCCCGGCCGCACAAAGCGCCGGGCCGGGCCGAGCCCGGGCGGGGCUCCGCACUUCCUGGUGGCCGCGGCGGCAGCGCCGGGGCCCGGGGAGGGAGACGGACAUUUCAUUCGAGCCUGCAGUGGAACCGGUUCGCAAUCAUUGGCCGGAGCCAGGCACAAACCUCCAGUGCGGCCCUGGUUGGCUCCCUCCGCAAGCCGGCUGUUUGGUUGGACAGAAAAUGGCUGCGAAGGAACCAGUCCCAGCGCGGAGCCCCGCUUCCCGCAGCCGGCCUGCCCUCCCUCCGCGCCGCCUCCUGCCGGCAGCGGCUCUUCCCGCCGCGCCGCCUCCCGCCUUAUACCCCGCAACAGCCGCCCCGGGGCUGCUCGGAGCCUCCCUCGCCCUGUGCGCGGGCACCUGGGCACUGCCGCCCCGCUGGGCCGCGCCGAGGCUGCCAAGGGCAGGUUGUUGCGGUCCUAG
RNAcentral lists this long non-coding RNA (1095 nucleotides) under Crocodylus porosus (Australian saltwater crocodile). RNAcentral's name for it is "lncRNA (ENSCPRG00005018300.1)". Lineage: Eukaryota; Metazoa; Chordata; Crocodylia; Crocodylidae. The record is from RNAcentral.